RNAcentral lists this ribosomal RNA (497 nucleotides) under uncultured Sphingobacteriales bacterium. Its description in RNAcentral is "bacterial SSU rRNA". It matches the Rfam family "Bacterial small subunit ribosomal RNA", at positions 885 to 1382 of the family's 1533-position model. The record is from RNAcentral. Lineage: Bacteria; Pseudomonadati; Bacteroidota; Sphingobacteriia; Sphingobacteriales.
GCCAGCCCGCUCAGAAACUCAAAGGAAUUGACGGGGGCCCGCACAAGCGGUGGAGCAUGUGGUUUAAUUCGAUGAUACGCGAGGAACCUUACCUGGGCUCAAAUGUAUGUUGACGUAUUCUGAAAGGGAUACUUCUUCGGACAAUAUACAAGGUGCUGCAUGGUUGUCGUCAGCUCGUGCCGUGAGGUGUCGGGUUAAGUCCCAUAACGAGCGCAACCCCUAUCAUUAGUUGCCAUCAGGUCAAGCUGGGGACUCUAAUGAAACUGCCUACGCAAGUAGUGAGGAAGGUGGGGAUGACGUCAAAUCAGCACGGCCCUUACGUCCAGGGCUACACACGUGCUACAAUGGCCGGUACAAAGGGCAGCUACCUGGUGACAGGAUGCUAAUCUCAAAAGCCGGUCUCAGUUCGGAUCGGAGUCUGCAACCCGACUCCGUGAAGCCGGAAUCGCUAGUAAUCGCGCAUCAGCCAUGGCGCGGUGAAUACGUUCCCGGGCCUU